RNAcentral lists this ribosomal RNA (1328 nucleotides) under Teuthowenia megalops. RNAcentral describes it as "16S ribosomal RNA". The record is from RNAcentral. Lineage: Eukaryota; Metazoa; Mollusca; Cephalopoda; Oegopsida; Cranchiidae.
UGUCAAUCUAAAAUAUCACUUUAAAUAUAAUGUUUAAAAUUUAAAUUGGUUAAAAUAUUAUUUUUUUUAGUAUAAGUAGUAUAGAAUAAUUGUUUUAGGAGUACUGUAAAGGAAUAAAAUUGUUUAAUUGUUAUGUAGUAGAGACUUAUUUUCGUACCUUUUGUAUAAUGGAUUAAUGAUUUUUUUAUGUUUAUAACAGUUUCUCGAAGUGAAAGGAUUUACUUAAUAAGGUUGUGUGUUAACGUUGUAUAGUUAUAUAUUGAUUAUUAAGUGGUAGUGAUAUGUUUAUCGUUUUUCAUGAUAGCUGGUUUAUUAGCUUAAAAUAUUUAAGUAUUGUAAUAUUAGUAUAAAUAUGUUGUUUUAUCUAAUAUUAGCUUACUGUAUAAGGGAUAAGCUUUAUAUAGUGUAAUUAGAAUCGUBUAUAUAGUUUAAUAAUUUAAGUAGAAUUAAAAAUGUUUUGCUUUAAAAGUAAUUUAAAUUGUUUAAUGUUUGUUUAUGUUCAGUUUAUUAGUUAAUUAAAUUUUUAAAAAUUAAUUUUUAAAAAUAUAUAAUGUUAAUAUGAGUAUUAUUAAUAAUUAUUAGUUUAUUAAAAUAUGUAGAAGUAAAUUGUUUGUAUUUUUUAAUAUAGUGAAUUAAGGUAAAGGAAUUCGGCAAAUAUUAAUCUCGCCUGUUUAUCAAAAACAUCUCUCUUUGUUAUAUAAUACAUAAAGAGUUGGGCCUGCUCGGUGAAUAAUUUUUUAACAGCUGCGGUAUUUUAACUGUACUAAGGUAGCAUAAUAAUUUGCCUUAUAAUUUGAGGCUAGAAUGAAUGGUUUGACGAAGGUUAAUCUGUCUCUAUCUUAUUUUUUAGAAUUUAAUUUUAUAGUGAAAAAGCUUUAAUUUUUUAAAGGGACGAGAAGACCCUAUUGAGCUUUUAAUUUUAUUGUGUUUUAAAUAUUUAUUUUUAUAGCGUUAUUAUAAAUUUUAAUUGGGGUGAUUAAGGAAUAAAUUAUUAACUUCCUUAGUUUGAAUAUUGUUUGAUAAAGUAACCAAUAUGUUAUUGCUUUUAUUAUAGUUACCAUAGGGAUAACAGCGUAAUUUAUUUAGAGAGUUCUUAUUAAAAAAUGAGAUUGCGACCUCGAUGUUGGAUUAAAGUAACCUCAAGGUGAAGAAGCUUUGAUAGGUAAAUCUGUUCGAUUUUUAAAACUUUACAUGAUCUGAGUUCAGACCGGCGUGAGCCAGGUUGGUUUCUAUCUUUUAAAAAUGAUAUUUGCUUGUUUCAGUACGAAAGGACCAAAUAAAGCUAAAAAAUUAUUAUUAUAAUACAUAGUUGGCAGAAAUAAUGUGAA